Molecule: ribosomal RNA, 253 nt
Filed under: uncultured bacterium
Lineage: Bacteria
Description: partial 16S ribosomal RNA
Rfam family: Bacterial small subunit ribosomal RNA
Source: RNAcentral
UACGGAGGGUGCAAGCGUUAUUCGGAAUUACUGGGCGUAAAGCGCACGUAGGUGGUUUGUUAAGCUAGCUGUGAAAUCCCCGGGCUCAACCUGGGCACUGCAGUUAGAACUGGCAAGCUAGAGUAGGGUAGAGGGGUGUGGAAUUCCAGGUGUAGCGGUGAAAUGCGUAGAUAUCUGGAGGAACAUCAGUGGCGAAGGCGGCACCCUGGACUCAUACUGACACUGAGGUGCGAAAGCGUGGGGAGCAAACAGG